GGGUUGUGAGGUUAAGCGACUAAGCGUACACGGUGGAUGCCCUGGCAGUCAGAGGCGAUGAAGGGCGUGCUAAUCUGCGAUAAGCGCCGGUAAGGUGAUAUGAACCGUUAUAACCGGCGAUACCCGAAUGGGGAAACCCAGUGUGAUUCGUCACACUAUCAUUAACUGAAUCCAUAGGUUAAUGAGGCGAACCGGGGGAACUGAAACAUCUAAGUACCCCGAGGAAAAGAAAUCAACCGAGAUUCCCCCAGUAGCGGCGAGCGAACGGGGAGGAGCCCAGAGCCUGAAUCAGCAUGUGUGUUAGUGGAAGCGUCUGGAAAGGCGCGCGAUACAGGGUGACAGCCCCGUACACAAAAGCGCAUGUGCUGUGAGCUCGAUGAGUAGGGCGGGACACGUGGUAUCCUGUCUGAAUAUGGGGGGACCAUCCUCCAAGGCUAAAUACUCCUGACUGACCGAUAGUGAACCAGUACCGUGAGGGAAAGGCGAAAAGAACCCCGGCGAGGGGAGUGAAAAAGAACCUGAAACCGUGUACGUACAAGCAGUGGGAGCACAGGUUUACCUGUGUGACUGCGUACCUUUUGUAUAAUGGGUCAGCGACUUAUAUUCUGUAGCAAGGUUAACCGUAUAGGGGAGCCGGAGGGAAACCGAGUCUUAACCGGGCGUUAAGUUGCAGGGUAUAGACCCGAAACCCGGUGAUCUAGCCAUGGGCAGGUUGAAGGUUGGGUAACACUAACUGGAGGACCGAACCGACUAAUGUUGAAAAAUUAGCGGAUGACCUGUGGCUGGGGGUGAAAGGCCAAUCAAACCGGGAGAUAGCUGGUUCUCCCCGAAAGCUAUUUAGGUAGCGCCUCGUGAAUUCAUCUCCGGGGGUAGAGCACUGUUUCGGCUAGGGGGCCAUCCCGGCUUACCAACCCGAUGCAAACUGCGAAUACCGGAGAAUGUUAUCACGGGAGACACACGGCGGGUGCUAACGUCCGUCGUGAAGAGGGAAACAACCCAGACCGCCAGCUAAGGUCCCAAAGUCAUGGUUAAGUGGGAAACGAUGUGGGAAGGCCCAGACAGCCAGGAUGUUGGCUUAGAAGCAGCCAUCAUUUAAAGAAAGCGUAAUAGCUCACUGGUCGAGUCGGCCUGCGCGGAAGAUGUAACGGGGCUAAACCAUGCACCGAAGCUGCGGCAGCGAACGUAUCACUUAAAGCGAUUCAGCGGGUUACGAUUGACGGAGCGAAGCGACGUCAAAGCGUAUACAAAGUCGAGUCGGUUUAAGGAUACGUUCGUUGGGUAGGGGAGCGUUCUGUAAGCCUGUGAAGGUGGCCUGUGAGGGUUGCUGGAGGUAUCAGAAGUGCGAAUGCUGACAUAAGUAACGAUAAAGCGGGUGAAAAGCCCGCUCGCCGGAAGACCAAGGGUUCCUGUCCAACGUUAAUCGGGGCAGGGUGAGUCGACCCCUAAGGCGAGGCCGAAAGGCGUAGUCGAUGGGAAACGGGUUAAUAUUCCCGUACUUGGUGUUACUGCGAAGGGGGGACGGAGAAGGCUAUGUUGGCCGGGCGACGGUUGUCCCGGUUUAAGCGUGUAGGCUGGUUUUCCAGGCAAAUCCGGAAAAUCAAGGCUGAGGCGUGACGACGAGGCACUACGGUGCUGAAGCAACAAAUGCCCUGCUUCCAGGAAAAGCCUCUAAGCAUCAGGUAACAUCAAAUCGUACCCCAAACCGACACAGGUGGUCAGGUAGAGAAUACCAAGGCGCUUGAGAGAACUCGGGUGAAGGAACUAGGCAAAAUGGUGCCGUAACUUCGGGAGAAGGCACGCUGACACGUAGGUGAAGUGAUUUACUCACGGAGCUGAAGUCAGUCGAAGAUACCAGCUGGCUGCAACUGUUUAUUAAAAACACAGCACUGUGCAAACACGAAAGUGGACGUAUACGGUGUGACGCCUGCCCGGUGCCGGAAGGUUAAUUGAUGGGGUCAGCGCAAGCGAAGCUCCUGAUCGAAGCCCCGGUAAACGGCGGCCGUAACUAUAACGGUCCUAAGGUAGCGAAAUUCCUUGUCGGGUAAGUUCCGACCUGCACGAAUGGCGUAAUGAUGGCCAGGCUGUCUCCACCCGAGACUCAGUGAAAUUGAACUCGCUGUGAAGAUGCAGUGUACCCGCGGCAAGACGGAAAGACCCCGUGAACCUUUACUAUAGCUUGACACUGAACAUUGAGCCUUGAUGUGUAGGAUAGGUGGGAGGCUUUGAAGCGUGGACGCCAGUCUGCGUGGAGCCGACCUUGAAAUACCACCCUUUAAUGUUUGAUGUUCUAACGUGGACCCGUAAUCCGGGUUGCGGACAGUGUCUGGUGGGUAGUUUGACUGGGGCGGUCUCCUCCUAAAGAGUAACGGAGGAGCACGAAGGUUGGCUAAUCCUGGUCGGACAUCAGGAGGUUAGUGCAAUGGCAUAAGCCAGCUUGACUGCGAGCGUGACGGCGCGAGCAGGUGCGAAAGCAGGUCAUAGUGAUCCGGUGGUUCUGAAUGGAAGGGCCAUCGCUCAACGGAUAAAAGGUACUCCGGGGAUAACAGGCUGAUACCGCCCAAGAGUUCAUAUCGACGGCGGUGUUUGGCACCUCGAUGUCGGCUCAUCACAUCCUGGGGCUGAAGUAGGUCCCAAGGGUAUGGCUGUUCGCCAUUUAAAGUGGUACGCGAGCUGGGUUUAGAACGUCGUGAGACAGUUCGGUCCCUAUCUGCCGUGGGCGCUGGAGAACUGAGGGGGGCUGCUCCUAGUACGAGAGGACCGGAGUGGACGCAUCACUGGUGUUCGGGUUGUCAUGCCAAUGGCACUGCCCGGUAGCUAAAUGCGGAAGAGAUAAGUGCUGAAAGCAUCUAAGCACGAAACUUGCCCCGAGAUGAGUUCUCCCUGAGACUUAGAGUCUCCUGAAGGAACGUUGAAGACGACGACGUUGAUAGGCCGGGUGUGUAAGCGCAGCGAUGCGUUGAGCUAACCGGUACUAAUGAACCGUGAGGCUUAACCUUACAACGCCGAAG
Molecule: ribosomal RNA, 3008 nt
Filed under: Salmonella enterica subsp. enterica serovar Anatum str. USDA-ARS-USMARC-1728
Lineage: Bacteria; Pseudomonadati; Pseudomonadota; Gammaproteobacteria; Enterobacterales; Enterobacteriaceae
Description: bacterial LSU rRNA
Rfam family: Bacterial large subunit ribosomal RNA
Source: RNAcentral